UUCUGAGCCUUUGAGAUUGAGCUUCAAGCUCUCAUUCCAUGACGAGACAAGGAGCACCGAGCUUGAACAAAUACUAGCAGAUACUGAAGCACCAUAUUUUAAGAGAAUCCGUUCAGCUUCCUGGGUUGAACUGAAAUUGCUUUUCCACCUUGCAGCUCCAGCUGUGAUUGUUUACUUGCUCAAUAAUGUUGUUUCCAUGUCUACUCAGAUCUUUUGUGGUCACCUCGGAAACCUUGAGCUUGCUGCUGUCUCUCUUGGUAACACUGGUAUCCAGAUGUUUGCCUAUGGCCUUAUGGUAAUACCUCUGCCCCCCCCCCUCUCUCACAUAUAUAUGGAUGAUUGUGAUCAUUAGUUAGCUAAGAAAAGGAAGGAUAGCAAGAAGAAAAGUUAAUUCUUGUUUUGAUUUUCUUUUCCUUUCAUAUUUCUUGCUUUAGCUAGAAUAAGGAUUUGGAAGAUUGGCUUUUCUCGUGUGUUUUUUUUUUAAACCUUUAGGCCAAAAGUGGACUGAGGAGAAAAGGGAAAAAAAAUAAUUUUAUGCUUUGUUCUCCAGAGAUUUUGUCUUCCCCUGUUAUCUCUGUUUUCCCCCCCUUCUUCUUCAAGAAUUUUCCCUUUUCAGGCAACAAAAAUGGUGGGGGUUAAAAUUCUUUCAUACCUUCUCUAUCAAGUGGAGAAUUGUCCUCUAGUUAUAUUAAAAAAGCUUGCUUUUCUUGCAGCUUGGAAUGGGAAGUGCAGUGGAGACACUAUGUGGCCAAGCAUUUGGGGCACAUAGAUAUGAAAUGCUAGGUGUAUACCUCCAAAGAUCAACAAUUCUCCUCAUGGCAACGGCUAUCCCUCUAAUGGUGAUCUACAUAUUUAGCGAACCUCUCUUGAUGUUAUUAGGUGAACCAGUCAGCAUAGCAUCAGCAGCUGCAGUUUUUGUGUACGGACUUAUCCCUCAAAUUUUUGCUUAUGCUGCCAAUUUUCCAAUUCAAAAAUUUUUGCAAGCCCAAAGCAUAAUUGCUCCUAGUGCAUAUAUAUCAUUGGGUGCCCUUGUGGUUCAUGUUUUGCUCUCCUGGUUCGCAAUCUUCAAAUGGAACUGGGGCUUGCUAGGUGCUGGCCUUGUCUUGAGUUUCUCAUGGUGGAUCAUUGUGGCGGGUCAGUUUGUGUACAUUCUAACGAGUAGUAGCUGUAGAAAGACAUGGCAAGGUUUCAGUUCGGAGGCCUUUAGCGGGCUUUGGAGCUUCUUCAAACUGUCUGCUGCAUCAGCUGUAAUGUUGUGUUUGGAGACUUGGUACUAUCAGAUUUUAGUAUUGAUUGCUGGGUUGCUUAAAAAUGCUGAGGUUGCAUUGGAUGCUCUCUCAGUUUGGUAAGCAAUUAACUAGACUUGCUUCUUUCGUAUUUUCCAUGUCUUGCCCGCCUCAAGAAAAGUAAAGGCAUCGUUGCUUCUUGUGCUUGGAUUGACUGACUUGUUAACACUAUCUACUCCUCUCUAUUUGCAGCAUGACAUUAUCCGGAUGGGUGUUUAUGAUUUCAGUUGGAUUUAAUGCUGCUGCAAGGUCAGUUUUUGUUAUGAAAGAGAUCAAGGAUAAACGCUUUCAUUUUGCUGUAAGCAUAUAGCAUUGCAGACAAUUAACAUAUACUUGGUCUUAACCAAUUAACAAAUCACGACCAGAUCACUAGGUUGACUUAAUCUUUAACUGGUUUGAAAUUAUUAUGUCUCGCAUCAUCUUAUAUAUGAACUCUCACAAAUAUGAUUUUAACAUCUACUUAGUCUUAAACAGUGUGAGAGUGAGCAAUGAGCUAGGAGCAGGACAUCCAAAAUCAGCUUCAUUUUCAGUCAUCGUGGUGACAUCCUGCUCGUUUAUAAUUUCAGUAAUCGCAGCCAUUAUUGUGCUGAUAUUUCGAGACUCCAUUAGCUACAUCUUCACUGAAGGUGAAGUUGUUGCUAAAGCUGCCUCUGACCUCUCCCCAUUCCUUGCCGCUACUCUCAUACUAAAUGGCAUCCAGCCUGUCCUGUCCGGUAAGAUCUUGACCAAGUAUUUGUUUAUUUUUCCUUAACAACAGGUGCAAUGGAUCUUCGGGUACAAAAUCACUGAAAUUUCUUUGUGUUAAAGGUGUGGCUGUCGGGUGUGGAUGGCAAGCAUUUGUUGCAUAUGUGAACGUAGGAUGCUACUACGUUAUCGGAGUUCCAGUAGGAGUGCUUCUUGGUUUUACAUUUGACCUUGGUGCCAAGGUAGGAUCAUUGCCUUUGUUACAAGAGCUCUUAGCUUUACUAUUUUUCUUUAAUGGCUAGACAUUCAUUUUUUAACUUGUCAGAGAUAUUUUGGUAUUGUGGUAGGUUUUGUAUUUUUUUCCAAUCACAUAGAAAAAAAUAUUUGGUUAGCCGAACAAUUUAUACUUUUUUGCACUGUGCCCCAUACAUGAUUGUGUUUAAAGCCGUGUUUUGUAGAAGCUAAGAUGACUACUUUUCAUUCAUGAAUACCUGUUUUUUAUUUAUUUGUAUGCAAGAUUUAUUCCACAAUAUUUUCAACUAAAUAUAUUUUUUUAAAACCGCAACUAUAAGUGUUUUUUUUUUAAAUUUAUUUUUUAAAACUGCAAUCACAAAAGUUUUCAAAAACACUUUAUUUUUGCAUGUAGAAAUCAAAUUUACAUAUUCUGCCAGGUAAAAAGAGCUGGAUGCUAAACUUUCGAGUUAAUUCAUUUGAUAGUUGUAAAGUGCGUCUACUUUAGCUCCACUAAUUAUUGUUUAUCAUUCGUAGUGUGUAUAUAUAUAUCAUCAUUUAGUGCAUGCCCCACUUUUAAAGAGAUUGAAUUUUAAUCAUGUUCUAUAGGCUCUGAUGAUUAAACGAAACCCUAAGCACAGAGCCAAUCCUUCAAUGUUAUUUGAAGUGCUAAGACAGUGAACGUAGGGAAGAAAAUGUUCGAAGCAUGAUUUAAGGUAUCUAAUGUAUUUAUUUUGCAGGGAAUAUGGUCAGGCAUGUUAGGAGGGACCGUUUUGCAAACUAUAAUCUUGGUGUGGGUUACUUUGAGAACAGAUUGGAAUAAAGAGGUAAAAACCCAAUUCCCAUUUUCAUCACAAAUCAACAUCUAGAAGAGAUUGGUCACGUCCCUUCCAUAAAUCACUUUGGCCACCGUAAUUAUUAUAGUAAUUAUUGUAGGCCAACCGCACUCAUAUCUCCUUUUCAAUUAUUGAACACAAUCUGCUCUCAAUACACGUCCCAAUGCUUACUUAUGUUUCCAAUGUCUGCCAUCCAUGCAUGGAAUGGACAUGCCAUGCUUUCGCUGGUUUGGAAUAUUGUUUAAAAUAUUAAAAAUAAUUUUUUUAAAAUAAAAAAUAUUGUUUAUGUAAUUUCAAAUGAAAGUUACUUUUAAUCAUUAUACUUCCAAACACCGAGCUUUAUCACCCUUACCCUUUACAAAAAAUUACUACUAUACAUAUAAAUUACAUGUGAAUGAUUUUUUUCAUAUCAUAUUAUUUUGAGUUAAAAAAAGUAAAAUGACUAGUAACAUUAUCAAUUUGUGUCGAAAUUUACAGGUGGAGAGUGCCAAAAACCGAUUGAGUUCAUGGGAUGAAAAAGGGCAGCCUCUUCUUGUGGAGUAAUUAAAGUAGACUUUGUGAAGAGCGCGAUUGCGGUUUUUGGACUCAUCAUGUGCUGAAGACAUUGAUUUUUGUCCUUCCAGUUUAGUCUCGGGGGUUGAUGGAUAGGAAGGAAUAAUUUGUGAUGACGAGUCUGCUAUAUAUCUCUACUCAUAAUGAUGUUGGAGGAAUAAUUCUUACAACUCAGAGAAUGGAAAGUGGUGUUCUAAUUGGAAUUGUUGUGUCUAGGGAGAGGAGUUCUACAUAUAACACUUUUCCUUUUGUAAUAAGAGAUGAUUUUUGAACUAAAUAAUACAUUAAUCCUGUAGUUCAAUUCAAUCUGGAGUCUAUAAUUUACAUCUGUCGGGUCCCUAUAAUUUGGUGACACACCAAAUUUGAGAUUAUGUGUUACCCACGGUUUAGUGUCUUUUAGGUAUUGCAGUAUAAUUUUUUUAAUUUAAAAAUAUAUUAAAAUUAUUAAAAAAAUAUCAAUUUAAAGCUUUUUAAAUGAAAUAUUUUUUAAAAAAACAUUUAAUUAACAAGCAUUCAAUCAUGAAUAUUUUAUAGAUAGAUUGUGGAAAUAUGCAUGUUUAUCCGUUAGAUAUAUUAAAGAGCCAUCUUAAAUUAUAAACAAUUAUUUAAUUAAAAAGCAUGCAAUCAUGAAUAUUUUAUAGAUAAAUUAUAUAGAUAUGCAUAAUGACAUAAAAUUAUUAUAUUGAAAGUCAUCAUCUUAAAUUAUAGAAAAGUCUAAAUCUCAGAGAGAAAUAAUUUAGUUUAAAACUUGUAUAAGAUUAUAAAUAUUUUAUUAAUUUAAUCAAAGAGAAAGAAGAAGAUGAGAGUUGAAUUUUAUAAUAAUUUUAUCUCAUUAUGAUAACUAAAAAAUCUAAAUAUAUAUGUCAUAUGGAUAGAGAUUGUGAACAUGAAAGAGUUAGAUUUUAAUUGAUUUAGCACUAUUAUAUUUAUGCCUAUAAUUAAUUACUCAAUGACUAAGACUUUUUAUAGUAUCCAUUUAUUUUCCAAAUGAUGGGAUCAAGGAAAUGGCUGCAUACACGUAUCGUAUUCUUCAAAACAGGACAAGGAAACCAGCCGGAACCAAUUAAUCAAGAUAAUGGAGGAAGAGAAACCUAAAAGAGAACUGUAUCAUUUAGUCCAAAGCAAGUUCUUGACCACAAACCAUUGUAUUUUCAUGACCACAAAUCAUCCAGUGGCCAGGACAAAUUAAAUCUAAUAAUUCACGUCUAGGAUUUUGUGUUUCAGAAUUUUUGCUUGCUUACUAGAACGUUCAAUUUCAACGAUUCUUGGACACCAUAAUCAAGUAGGACCAUUCUCCAAAUUUCUAUGUUCUUUUUUCCUCUCACGAGGGACGGCUUCCAAGUUUGAACUUGAAAUUUCAGCGUGAAAAUUAGACUCCAAAUUUUAGCUGAAUGUUCUUCGCAGAUUUUAUAUGUGAAAUCCCCAUCCGAAUAUGAUGAUUAAAAAAUAAAUUUCGAAAUCGAAAUUGAGGAACUGGUCAUUAAACUCUUGACUACUAGUCUUUUAUGGUGUUAAAACAAGUCUUUUAUGAUGAUUAUUGGACGUUUUGACUUAAAGAAAUUAAAUUCCGAAACCAAAUCUUAUUAAAUACCUACAAAUCAAUCAUAGUUUCCUUGCUAAUCACCACCGAUCAGUGAGACUACGAAGGCAAUUGUUUAAUUGAAUAGAUUAAACUUAUUACCAUUAAUUUGAAACUGAUUUUUGAUAGAUCUAUGAUUGUUCUUUGAUACCAAUGAUUGAACCCACCGCAAACCACAAAAUCCACUUUGUAUUUGUUUUUUUAAUUUUGGAUUUGGUGUCUAACGUUGCGUUUGAGUUCAGCUUGUGAGACUUGGAUUAGCUCAAUUUUUUAGUAUUUCUGUUUUUUGUGGGGGCAGCAAUGGAUGAUGAUGAUGAUACAAGAGGAAAGCAUAAGAUUAGAGAAGUAAAAGAGAAGAAGAAAACUGCCCUGGCAUGAGUGCUCGCUCGCCACCAAAACCCAAAUCGAAAAAGCCAAUGAGAACAUAGAUAUUCAUAUACCAAAACAAAACAAGAAUCAUAAUCAUCACGUCCUUGGAGAAUUUCACUACAGAGAAAAGGAAAAUGAUCUGGCAGCACCGCACUCACAUUAAAUUUAUAAAAAAGAGGUAAUAAGAUUACAUUGCCAUUAGGCAGUCUCAUAUUAUUAUUAUUAUUUUUUAAAUUGUGCAUUUUGUAACCCUAGUGCAUGCACGCGACCUCUCACAUGUUUAUACUUUACAAAACUUUUCUUUUCAUUUUUCACACGCAACCCACAACAACGUGAAGCACAUUCGACAAAAUAAAUGAUGUAAUGAUGGAGACGUAGCAAGGAUACCAAUGAAAUUAACCACACUGAUUUCACAUUUGACUUCAUGAAUGCAGUUGUCUUUGUAUAGACCAUGUUGACUACACAAUGCGGAAAGGAGGAAUCCAAGAAUUUACAAGUAUCUUCUUCGAUUUAAACUUUAGCAUAUAAGUAGUAUCUGUUAUGUACAUCAAGACAAAACAUUUAUUAAUUUGAUAUAGAAGCUCAAAUCACAAGCGCAAAAGAGGAGGGAAAUGGAGACCGAUCCUGAUCCGAGAUUAAGCUUUAAACUCUCUGUCCAUGAUGGUCAUGAGACAGUGAGCGAUGAGCUUGAACAAAUACUAACAGAUACUGAAGCACCAUACUCUAAGAGAAUCCGUUCAGCUUCUUGGGUUGAACUGAAAUCGCUUUUCCACCUUGCAGCUCCAGCUGUGAUAGUUUACUUGCUCAAUAACGUUGUUUCCAUGUCUACUCAGAUCUUUUGCGGUCACCUUGGAAAUCUUGAGCUUGCUGCUGUCUCUCUUGGUAACACUGGUAUCCAAGUUUUUGCCUAUGGCCUUAUGGUAAUACCUCCUGAUCUCUGCCUGCUUUUCUCAUAUAUUUCAUGGAUGGUCAUGAUCAUUCUCUCUUCUUUUCUUCUCUUUCUUUUGUUUAUUCCUUUCCUUUUUACCCUUUUAAACUUUAGUGAGGAUUUGGAAGUAGUGUUUCUUUUUUUUUUUUUGGGGGGGAAGACUUUAGGCCAAAAAAGAACUUCAUGCAUAAUCCUCCAUCGGUUUGUCUUUCCAGUUAUCUAAUUUCUUUCUUUAUACUUCUUGUUUUUUCUUUCUAUAUCAAGUGGAGAAUUCUCCUCUACUUUUGCUAAGGAAGUUUUUGUCUUGUUGCAGCUUGGUAUGGGAAGUGCAGUAGAAACUCUAUGUGGCCAAGCAUAUGGAGCAAAUAGACAUGAAAUGCUAGGCAUAUACCUCCAAAGAUCAACUGUUCUCCUCAUGGCAACAGGGAUCCCCUUAAUGAUGAUCUAUAUAUUUUCCAAACCUAUCUUGAUCUUACUUGGGGAGCCAGUCAAUAUAGCAUCAGCAGCUGCAGUUUUUGUCUUUGGACUCAUCCCUCAGAUUUUCGCUUAUGCUGCCAACUUUCCUAUUCAAAAAUUCUUGCAAGCACAAAGCAUAAUCGCGCCUAGUGCGUACAUAUCACUAGGUGCACUUGUGGUGCAUGUUUUGCUCACCUGGCUUGCAGUCUUCAAAUGGAACUGGGGCUUACUAGGAGCAGGUCUUGUGUUGAGUUUAUCUUGGUGGAUCAUUGUGGUGGCUCAGUUUGUGUACAUUGUAACGAGCAAGAAGUGUAGAAAGACAUGGAAAGGUUUUAGCGUGAAGGCCUUUAGUGGGCUUUGGAGCUUCUUCAAACUGUCUGCUGCAUCAGCAGUAAUGUUAUGUUUAGAGACUUGGUACUUUCAGAUCUUAGUCCUGAUUGCUGGAUUGCUUGAAAAUGCUGAGGUUGCAUUAGACUCACUCUCAGUUUGGUAAGUAAUUUACUAGACUUGGUUCUUUCAGAAUAUUUUAUUUCUUGCUACCUUCAAGAAAAGAAAUUCGAAGAAAAGGUAUGGUGCUUGACAAUGUCGAUCUUGCUAACACUAUGGACUUACUUGUGAACACCAUUCAUUCCUCUCUUCUUUUAAUGCAGCAUGACAAUAUCUGGAUGGGUUUUCAUGAUUUCAGUUGGAUUUAAUGCUGCUGCAAGGUUUGUUGAUCUUUCAAUUAUCUAUAUUUUGUUUUUGAUUAAUUACUAUAUAUUAGAAAAACUUAUAUAGAAUAAAACAAUUAUUGGAAUAAUUGAUAUAGAUAUAAAACAAUCUAUAUCUAUCAAUUAAUCCCAUAAUUGUUCCAUCCAUGAAAUUACACCCACCAAUUAUUACAGUUGUUUAAAAAACAGUAGGACAUCAUGAUGUCUUGUCAAUAAAUAGGUUAACUGGUUUGAAAUUAUUAUGUUUCUCAUCUGCUUAUGUAUGGAAGCUCGCAAGUAUAAUUUUCAACACACCAUGAUAUUGUCCCAAGGUCAGUGUACACCAUGCAGGGGAAUUGCAAUUUUACAUAAAUAUAUAGGAGCACCAUAUUUAUUUACAUAAAGAUAGGCAAUUAACAUCUACUUGGUCUUAAACAGUGUGAGAGUGAGCAAUGAGCUAGGAGCAGGACAUCCAAAAUCAGCUUCCUUUUCAGUCCUUGUGGUGACUUCCUGCUCAUUUAUAAUUUCAGUAAUCGCAGCCAUUAUUGUGAUGAUAUUUCGAGACUCCAUUAGCUAUAUCUUCACUGAAGGUGAAGUUGUUGCUAAAGCUGCCUCCGACCUCUCUCCACUCCUUGCUGUCACUCUCAUACUAAACGGUGUUCAGCCUGUUCUAUCCGGUAAGUGUUGUACGGUGGAUAGUGUUUUUUUUAUUUAGAAAUUUAUUAAAAUAAUAUUUUUUAAAACCUUUGCUGUUGCCUCUUGUCGUCGCAACAAAUGUGUCUCUCAGGAAAAAAAAAUCUUAAUUUUAUGUUCUCAUAAGACAAGGGAGGUAGCAUUGGAAUGUUGACAAAAUCGAGGAAAGAAGAAGGGAAACAUCAAUGGUUGUCAUUACAGCAAAUCAAGCUUAAGUGUUCCGGCGAAGAUGGAACUUCACGUUGUCUUCAUUAUGAUAUAUAGUACAAAAUCUAACUGUUUCCUUAAAUUUUGUGUGUGCUGAAGGGGUGGCCGUUGGCUGUGGAUGGCAAGCAUUUGUUGCAUAUGUGAACGUAGGAUGCUACUACCUUAUUGGUAUUCCACUAGGGGUGCUUCUUGGUUUUAAAUUUGACCUCGGUGCCAAGGUAAAAAACUAUCGCAUUCAUCAUGUUCCUUUAAAAAUGUCUAAAAAAACAGAUGUAUGAAACAAAUAUAUAUUUUUAUUAAAACCUCUUAAUUAAACUUAAUUAAGAGGGUUCUAUAUAGUGUGGUGAGAUUCUUAUCAUGAAUGGUUGUUAUAUAGUUAUUGUUUAAUUUCUACAGGGUAUAUGGUCAGGCAUGUUGGGGGGCACAGUUUUGCAAACUUUGAUUUUGCUGUGGGUCACUUGGAGAACAGACUGGAAUAAAGAGGUAAGUACACACUAAUUAACAUCUGAUCAUGUUAAUUAUGUUAGUCUCCCUUUUAAUUACCACUCUAAUCAAACAAAAGCCACUCUCCUUGGUUGUGUGUGUUUGGAUUACGCAAGCAUUUUUAUUAUUAUUAUUAUUAUGUCGCGUAAUUUUCAGGUGGAGGGUGCCAAAAAUCGGCUAAGUUCAUGGGAUGACAAAAGUGAGCCUCUUCUACAGAAGUGAAUGGAUCAUACGUUUCUUGUCCAAUAAUUGGGAUUGGCACACAAGACAAAUUAACGCAUGAUGAUGAUAAGAAUGCGAUCAACUUCAAUUUCUAAUGGAGUUUACUGUUGUUUCAAGGGCUCUUGGCCCCUUCAAUCUCACUCUUAUUUUUUCUUUUCUCAAAUUAAUGCAUGUUUGUUAUAUUUUCUAUUGAGAGUUGAAAUUAGUAUUAAAAAACAAAGUUUAUUGAUUAAUUAUUGUGUUUUGCAAAACUUGUGUAUAUAUUAUUUUUUUAAAAAUAAGGACCGUCAUAAUACAUUGUUUAGAUGUAGGAUAAAUAGACUUGGUCAUUUGGAGAAGUGUCGACUGGCCAUAUGAAAGUUCCCAUAAAGAGUACUGGAGGAAGGAGAUUCUUUCUCAAUUGUGAAAGGAGAGACUGAACCAGAAAUUCUAGUGCUGUUGUUAUCUGCUUCUUUCUGCAGUUGACGCCAUUAAAAUAUAUAGGAAAAAGCUUAGUGAUCAUUAAUUUGAGAAUGAUUAGAUUUAGCCUUGGCUUAUGAAAUAUUGGAAAGAUGUUAGUACAUUAGAAGAAGAAAGGAGAGAUUCGAAUCUGAGAUCUUUUAAAUCUUCAUCUUGCUUGAUUUGACGUGGCUCGAAGGUCAUUCAAAUAAAGAACAAGUAAACACAUAUAAGUUUUUUUUUCAUUAAAUUUUAUUUAAUUUUUUGAAGGUUUUAAUGAGAUAUAUUUUUAAUACAUGAUUAUUUAAGGGGAAAUAUUAUAAAAUUUAUAAUUAUAUAUAUUGAAUGCACAUUAAACUCUUAGACUUCAUGAAUCUUCAGGUUUUCUUUUUUUUGGUUUUUUAUAACACUUAAAAAUUUUUAGUGCCUUUUAAUGUUUUUUUUAUAUAUAUAUAAAUAGGCUAUUUGUAUUGUAUUUUAAAUAUAAAAAAUAUAUGAUUUUAUUUUUAAAUUUUAUUCUGAACAUGUAUGGAUUUCCUUAAUUUUUAUUUUUUAAAACAAUUUUAUAGUUUUAUACUGUAUUUUUGUAAUUAUAUGCGCGUGUAUUCCACCUUUCACAUUAUUAAUUUAUUGGCAUCCUGCUGUUGCACCGUUUACUAAACAGGAUCCUAUAAAAAAAUCCCCAUCAUGUGCUUCGUGACCAUAAUGCAAAUCUGGAAAAACUCAAAGGGUAACCUAAGAAAAGUAUUUUAUUCAAAUCAAAUUAUUUUAUUCCCGUCGAACUAAUGAAUAUUAAAAAAUUUAUAAUUAAAAAAAAACUGGAGGUUAAAAAAAUAAAAAUAAUGAACUAACAAUUGAGAGUACUUAUUCGAUCUUUUACAAAGUCCAUUAAUUAUUGUCAAAUUAAUUAAAAAUAAAAGUCUUUUUACAUUUAAAAAAUAUAGUGAAAUCAUAAAUUAUCUUUAAAAGCAUAUAUAUAUAUAUAUAUAUAUAAAUGAUUCAGGCCAUGGGGUUAGUUGUCUUACUUGAUUUUGAUUUUUUAGGUUCUUUUUCUUUGUCGAUUUCUUUCCAGUUUCAAUAUCCUUUAAUAGUUGGUUUGUUGGGAAUUAGGUUUUUUGAUUUGUUUUUUUAUUUAUUUUUUAUUAGGUUUUCCUACUUUUAUUACUCGUGUUAAAAGUUUGUCAUGCCAAUUUAGAUUAACUUGAGUUUUUUUUGUUUUUUUUAUUAUCAUUUUGACCUAAUUUCAUCUUUCUAUAUUUUAACUUGCUUUCUAUAAUUUUUUUUUGAUAAUUUUAAAAAUGAUCCAGAUUAUCUCAGGUCUUUUUAUUUAUCGUUCUUUGUUAAUGUUGCUACUCAUUUUUGGGUUCCAAAAAAAAAAGAAAAAAAAUACAAAAACAUACCUAUAAAAAAUAAAUAAUAAUAAUAAUAAUAAUAAUAAUAAUAAUAUAUUCGGAAGGAAUCCAAAAAUAACAGGAGUGAGAAAAGGAUGCUGGAAAUAAAAUGGCUAGAAAUUGAUUGAGGAGAUUCAAAAAUACAAGAAUUGAAAUUUGACAAUAUAUUUUUGACUAAUGAGAACCCUAUUGACAAGGAAAAUUGAAUUUGAAAAAGAAAAGUUCAAAAUCAUAUGUUUAUGAACUCAAUUAAAUUUUAUUGAAGGUUUAAUUGAAUUUAUAGAGGGUUUGAUGGCAAGAAAAAGAUGUUUUAAAGUCAAUUUGGGGUUUAUUGGAAAUAAAUUAAAGUUCAGGGAUCCAAUUAUAAUUUACCAGGGGCUUGGUUACAAAAUUGUAAAAACAUCUAAGGACCAAUUCAGAAAUAUCCAUUUGAAUUUGAAAAGGGCGCUGUUCCUGGACAACUGUUCAUUGUCUUCUUCCUCAGCAGUUGUUUCGACAGUAAAAGCAGGGGAGACGUUUCAGCAGCAAAAGCAGUAAAUUGCUUUAGGGAACGUUUCACAACUACUAUCUCUCUGCAUGCCGUUACCAUCGCCAACCGUUACCACUGCAAUAAUGCCCGAACGCCUUUAUUAUCAGAAAAAAAACGCAUGCAUUCUUGGGCUAUAAAAGCCGGAGAAGGGACCGAAAGUGGAGAGGGGGGGGGGGAGAAGAGGGGACGAAACAGAGAGAGGAGAGCGUAAGAGAGUAGAAAACAUAGAGAGUUUUUUGGAAAGGAGUGACAGACAGAGGAAGAGGAAAGGUUUUGACAGACGAACAAAAAACAGAGGGAGAAAGGAGAGGAAAACACAAAAAAACGGGAGGAAGAAAAAAACAGGGAAAACGAAUAUGAGAGAGGGUAAAGAUUUGUUUACAGAGAAGGAAGAAUAGAGGAAGAACUGAAGAGGAGAGUAGCAUCGACCUGUCAGCUUCACCAUCAUCUUCGUCCCCAAGCGCCAGCUUCGCCUCCAGCUGUACUAGGGAACAGGGAAAAAGAGAAAGAGAGAGACAGACGCAGAGCGAUGGAGAAAGAGAGAACAGAGGAGGGAGAAAGGGAGAACAUAAGCAGGCGAGAAAAGGAAAAAACCAGAGGCUGGUGCCUCUUGCGCGGGGAAGAAGAAGAAAGACAGCAGCGCCACCCAGCGCCACCGUGAGCAAUCACUGGAGACAGCAACCUCGAUCCCUCAUUACAGGCAAUCUUCUCCCCUUCUCUGUUGUUUUCCUUUGCAUGCAGAACGUGAGCAAUUCACGUUCUGCAACAAAGGAAAUAUAAUUAUCUAGUUACUGUGCUGGGCACAGUAACCAGCUACUUCUCUGUCCCCUCAUUCCAGGCAAUCUUCUCCCCUUCUCUGUCCCCUCUUCUCUGUUGUUUUCCUUUGCAUGCAGAACGUGAGCAAUUCACGUUCUGCAACAAAGGAAUAAUUACUUGGUUACUCUGAUCAGCACAGUAACCAUCCAUUAGUUCCCACAGUAAUCAUUUUGGGCUGAUUUUGGCCUAGUUUUUUUUUUUGGACCGGAUCCGGUCUAGUAAAAAAAUCCCAUGAAAAACAUGUUGGAAAAUUUGUGAUUUUUUCCGUGUAUUUCUCUACUGAUUUUUGUUUAAUAUUGAGUUGUAUUUUUAUACCAUAAAGAUAAAAAUCCGGUAUUAAAAUACCCGAUUUUCAUCAAAACAUUGAAAAAAUUAAAAAAAAUAUGCAUACGGAGAAGUCUCUAAAAAAAACACAAAAAAAACCCUAUGAAGAGAGUAUGAUCAGAACUACUUUGUUGAUAACCAAAUGCCUUCAAUGAGCUUGUAAACUUGCCAAACCAAGCUCUUGGUGAUUGCUUUCAACCAUACAAUGAUUUGCGCAGUUUACACACUUGUUUGCUCCCUUCAACCUGUAACUUACAUCCUGGAGGCAACUCCAUGUAUGCUUCUUCUUGGAUAGUGAUCCUGUGCAGGAACAUGUUCUUUACAUCAAAUUGAUGUAGUGGCUAAUCAACAUAACAUUUGCAGCUAAUGAUAAGAGAAUGCGUACUGUAUUUAUUUUGGUCAUUGGUGCAAAAGUUUCUGUAUAAUCAAUUCCAUAUGUUUGGCUGUAUCCUUUAGCGGCAAGCCGAGCUUUAAACCUCUCAAUCUCACCAUCAACUUUGUAUUUGACUGAGAAAAAUCCAUCUACAUCCCACAAGUUUCUUUCCAGCAGGUAAAUCAACCACCUUCCAUGAUGCAUUUCUUUGGAGAGAUUUCAUCUCUUCGUUCAAUGCAUUUUUCCAACUAGGAUCUUUUAUAGCUUCCUGCACGUUAUUAGGAACUAUACAAUAGACAAUUGAUUUGCAAAUGAUUCACGUUCCUUUGACAACCUAUGGUAAGAUACAUAAUUGUUUAGUGGAUAUUUAGGGGUAGAAGCUCGGACAAGUUUAUAACUAACUUUAGGAAUUCUUUUUAUGGUACGAUUGGGAAGGAUACGGAGUGGAAGUUCAAGAUUUACCUGAGAUUCAUUAGGUGGUGACGACUCAUGAGGACUAGGAGCAUCAAGCGAAGAUAAUUGUAGUUGUGGUACAUUCAAUUCAACUAUAUUAGGAUGAUCACACGGUGCAAGCUCAUUUGUCGUUGGCUCAAUUGUUGUAUCUGUAUGUUCUAGUCCUACCAGUUCAGGUUGUUCAAGUUUUGUCAAAGUAUGACUUAUGUUCUCACUCUGAUAGGUAAAAGACUUCAAAUCACUACUCUCCUCUCCUUGAUUUGUUGUUGCAGGAAAGUACAUUUGGUGUUCAUGAAAUUGUACAUCCAUGGUAACAUACACUUUGUGAGUUGGUGGAUGGAAGCACCUGUACCCUUUUUUAUGGAGACCAUAACCAAUAAAAACACAUCGGAGGGCACAUGGCUGAAGUUUAUGGCGAGCAUGUUUUGGUAUGUGUACAAAGGCAACACAACCAAACACUUUUAGGGGCAGGUUCAGUAUGAGUGAUGAGGGCAGGCUUUGAUUUAAUGUUUCAAGAGGUGUCUGGAAGUCUAAGCUGGGAGAUGGAAUAUGGUUUAUCACAUAUGAAGUAGUAGCAAGUGAUUCGACCAAAAAAUAAAGGGGCAUUUUGGCUUCAAUAAGUGUAGCUUGAACCAUUUUCAGGAGAUGUCUGUUUUUUGUUUCUGCAACCCUAUUUUGUUGAGGGAUAUAGGGGCAUGUAGUUUGGUGAAUUAUACCCUGACCAUGUAAAAAAUUCCUCAUCUCAUGAUUAACAAACUCUCCACCAUUUUCAGUGCGAAGGACUUGAAUUGAAGUUUUAUACUGAGUAGCAACCAUUGAAUAAAAUUAUUUAAAGAGUGAGCAUACAUCCUACUUUGUUUUCAUCAAACACACCCAGGUCAUGCGACUAUAAUCAUCAAUAAAAGAAACAAACCAACGUGCUCCAUUCAAAGUUGGAACUUUUGCAGGACCCCAAACAUCAGAAUGUAUAAGUGUAAAUGGCGCAGAACUUUUAUUCAAAUUUGGCAGAAAUGGAACACGGUGGCUCUUUGCCAAUUCACAGGUUUCACUUUUAAGUACUGGUAGAGAUGCGUUUGAAAAUAGCUCAUGAAGAAAAUGUUUUAAAUGUCCAAAUGAAAUAUGUCCACAUCGCUUGUGCCAGAACCAAAUAUUAGAAGUGGAUGUUGAACUGGUAACUGCUAAUGACUAAGCCAAUGCAUUUGAGCUAGAUGAUGUGAGAUUAAGGUAAUAUAGCUUCCCUUUUUUAGUACCACAAGCAAUCGUCCUCCUUGUCUUGAUGUCCUUGAAAACAUAAUGGUUAGUCCAAAAAAUUACAGCACAAUGCAAGGAAGUUGUAAUUUGAGAGACAGAUAUCAAAUUAAAAUUAAGGAAAGGAACUAUAAGAACAAUAUCUAAAUUAAGUUUACUUAUAGAAAAUGAACCUUUGCCAAUAACUGUGGCUUCUGUUCCAUUGGCUGUAGACACAACAUAUUUUUCAGAUGGUUUUAAUUUAGAAACAGGGAAGGUAGUGUCAAAAGACAUAUGAUCAGUUGAUCCAGAAUCAAUAAUCCAUGCACAAGAUCUAAUAGGCACAGGUUUAUCAGAAGACUUACCUGGUGAUUUGGAGGAGGUGUGUAAUGCAGUAGCAUUGGUAUUAGGUGAAGAUACUUUAGCUAUGGUGGUGGAGAUUGAUGAUGUAGUUGAAGUUUUGCCUUUACAUUUUGGAGCCUUGGAAUGAUCCCACCAUUCAGGGUAUCCAAUCAAGUCAUAACAUCGACUUUUAGUGUGUCCAGUGUCUCCACAAUGAGUACAAUAUCUAGAUGAGCCAGACUGUUUAUUUCCAAUAUCAAAACUUCGAGAUGUCGCCACUGAACCAGGGUCAGUUUGUCGGACAGGUGGUGUGUUUCAGCGAGCUAACAUGGCCACAGAAUCAGGAGCAGUCAGGUCAUUUGUAAGAAAAAUUCGACGAUUUGCUUCACGAUGAACAUAUGCAUAUGUGCGUUCAAGAUCAAGGCUUGGAUUCAUGCGAAGGAUUUCUUCUCGCACUUGUUCAAAUUCAGCGUCAAGACCAUUUAAGAAGAUAUUUAUCCUCAAUUUUUCAACUGAUGCUUUAUACAUAAUGAUAUCUCCAGGGUCCCUCAUCUUAACUUUAUCACGAUAAUCAAGUUCUUGAAAUAUCUCUACCAGCUCACCAUAAUAUGUAGGAAGAGAUUGACCUGAUUGACGAAUGGAGAAGGCACGUUGAUUGAGAUGAAAUAUUUGUGUUUCAUCUAAUCCAUUAUAGAAUGCUUUAGCAAGAGCACUCUAGAUUUCACGAGUAACACGUAGGCGAAGGUACCUCUUCAUGAUCUCUGAUGUCAUUGAUGUGAGUAAUCAACCUUUAAUUUUUUGAUUUUCAGCCUACCACUUCGAAUAAGAGGGGUCUGUUGGUUCGGGUUGAGAUGAGUCGCCAAUGAUAUAAUUGAGUUUCUCAUGACCCGCAAUGUGCAUCUCAAUUAUUUAGGACCAGGUGUCAUAAUUGGUUUCGGUGAGAAUUAUGCGAGCAUUGAAACCUGAAUUCUCAUAUUGGACAUGUAUAACAGGAGAGGAUGAUAUGAGGGUUGAUUCGGUAGCCAUCGUAUUAAGGGAUAGCUUGAUUCAAUAAGUUUGCAGGGAUUUAGAAAAUCUGCUUUGAUACCAUGAAGAACUGAGUUCUUUAUUUCUCUUUAUUCAUUUAUGUUUUGAAUAAAAUAAUUAUACAGGAACACAAAGGCCUUUUAUAGACCUUUGCAAAGACUCCUAACAGAAUAGGAGAUGAGUCUCGUAAGUCAUAAACAUUGUAUAUAACAGACUAACUUAGAGUUCUUAAUCACAACUACUUAGGAGAUAAAUAUAACAAUCUUCUGAUAACUAUAACAAUUUUCUACAGAAUCUAAACCUACUCUAAUUAGCGUUAUUAUAUAGCUGUCUUAUUUAUGUUUUUUAAUCUCAUUUUAAUAUUAUUUUAUAUAAAAAAAACAAUCCAGCCCGACAACUUUAAGCCUGAUCGACAAAAUAAUGGUGGAAUGAUGGACAUGCGACCAAAAUAUGAACUAAAUUAACCACACUGUUUUUUAUUGUUUUUGUAAUAAGUUGACCACGUCAUGUAGAAAAAAGGAAUCCGAUCGAGAGUUUGCAGGUAUCUUCCUCAUAUAAACUUUAUGAUAUAAACUUUAAGCCUCUUGUAAAGAUAUCAAAGGCUCAAAAGAUUAGAAAAUGAAAUGGUUAGAAUGUCGUUAGUAGCUGUUAGUCUUAUUGUUUGUCAGUUAAGAGAAUUAGUUAAUUAGUAUUGUUUAAUGAAAAAUAAAUAACGUGAAUAAGCUUCCUACUAUAGCAAUAUAUAAACUGAUGUCAAAUAAGGGAACAGCAUUCAAUUAAUAAAACAGAGAAUCAAAGCAGAAUUUCUUCUUCUUCUUUAUUUAACAGAAUCCUUCUCUGUUUUUCUUCAUCUCUCUCUAUUCCUUUUUCUGUGCAAAUCUUACUAUCCUAACAAUAAUUACUAUAUAUAUAUAUAUGCAUUCUAUGUAGUUGAAGACAAAACAUUUAUUUGAUACAGAAGCUCAAAUUACAAGAUCAACAGGAGGAAAAUUAAUGGAGACUGAUCCUCCGAGAUUAGAAUCCAAACUCUCUUGCCAUGAUGAUGAGACAGUGGGCGAUGAGCUUGAACAAAUACUAACAGAUACUGAAGCACCAUAUUUUAAGAGAAUCCGUUCAGCUUCCUGGGUUGAACUGAAAUUGCUUUUCCACCUUGCAGCUCCAGCUGUGAUUGUUUACUUGCUCAAUAAUUUUGUUUUCAUGUCUACUCAGAUCUUUUGUGGUCACCUUGGAAAUCUUGAGCUUGCUG
Molecule: long non-coding RNA, 17380 nt
Filed under: Populus tremula
Lineage: Eukaryota; Viridiplantae; Streptophyta; Magnoliopsida; Malpighiales; Salicaceae
Description: long non-coding RNA (PTRE_LNC000670)
Source: RNAcentral